UCCGGUUUGGCACCGGCAGUCCCCCCAGAGUCCCCGGCAUGACCCGUUGGCAACUGGGGGCGAGGGUUGCGCUCGUUGCGGGACUUAACCCAACAUCUCACGACACGAGCUGACGACAGCCAUGCAGCACCUGUGCGCGGGCUCCGAAGAGGGCCCCCUGUUUCCAAGGGGUUUCCCGCGCAUGUCAAGCCCAGGUAAGGUUCUUCGCGUUGCGUCGAAUUAAACCACAUGCUCCACCGCUUGUGCGGGCCCCCGUCAAUUCCUUUGAGUUUCAGCCUUGCGGCCGUACUCCCCAGGCGGGGCACUUAAUGCGUUAGCGCCGGCACUCAGGGGGUCGCUCCCCCAAGCACCUAGUGCCCAUCGUUUACGGCGUGGACUAC
This 380-nucleotide unclassified non-coding RNA is filed under the name uncultured Gemmatimonadaceae bacterium. Its description in RNAcentral is "contains 16S-23S intergenic spacer region". The record is from RNAcentral. Lineage: Bacteria; Pseudomonadati; Gemmatimonadota; Gemmatimonadia; Gemmatimonadales; Gemmatimonadaceae.